RNAcentral lists this ribosomal RNA (408 nucleotides) under uncultured bacterium. RNAcentral describes it as "partial 16S ribosomal RNA". It matches the Rfam family "Bacterial small subunit ribosomal RNA", at positions 28 to 526 of the family's 1533-position model. The record is from RNAcentral.
GACGAACGCUGGCGGCGUGCUUAACACAUGCAAGUCGAACGAAGUGGCGAACGGGUGAGUAACGCGUAAUCAACCUGCCCUUCAGAAGGGGACAACAGAUGGAAACGACCGCUAAUACCGCAUCCUGAUGGAGGGGAUUGCGUCUGAUUAGCUAGUUGGCGGGGUAACGGCCCACCAAGGCGAGGAUACGUAGCCGGUCUGAGAUGAUGAACUGCCCCAUUGGGACUGAGACACGUCCCAGACUCCUACGGGAGGCAGCAGUGGGGAAUCUUCCGCAAUGGACGAAAGUCAGACUGAGCAACGCCGCGUGAGGGAUGACGGCCUUCGGGUUGUAAAGCUCUGUUAAUCGGGACGCGGUACCGGAAUAGAAAGCCACGGCUAACUACGUGCCAGCAGCCGCGGUAAUAC